CCUACGGGACGCAGCAGUGAGGAAUAUUGGUCAAUGGGCGGGAGCCUGAACCAGCCAAGUCGCGUGAGGGAUGACGGCCCUAUGGGUUGUAAACCUCUUUUGCCGGGGAGCAAAGUGCCGCACGUGUGCGGUUUGGAGAGUACCCGGAGAAAAAGCAUCGGCUAACUCCGUGCCAGCAGCCGCGGUAAUACGGAGGGCGCGAGCGUUAAUCGGAAUUACUGGGCGUAAAGCGCGCGUAGGCUGUUGUGUAAGUUGGGGGUGAAAUCCCACGGCUCAACCGUGGAACAGCCCUUGAUACUGCGCGA
Molecule: ribosomal RNA, 305 nt
Filed under: uncultured bacterium
Lineage: Bacteria
Description: bacterial SSU rRNA
Rfam family: Bacterial small subunit ribosomal RNA
Source: RNAcentral